This 659-nucleotide ribosomal RNA is filed under the name uncultured eukaryote. RNAcentral describes it as "SSU rRNA". It matches the Rfam family "Eukaryotic small subunit ribosomal RNA", at positions 82 to 776 of the family's 1831-position model. The record is from RNAcentral.
UGAAACUGCGAAUGGCUCAUUAAAACAGUUAUGAUUUAUUUGAUAAUCGAAAGUUACAUGGAUAACCGUGACAAAUUACAGCUAAUACAUGCACAAAGACCUGGUCCAAGGGUCGUAAUUAUUAGUACUAAACCAAUUCCGCAAGGAAUGUGAUGAAUCAUAGUAAUCGAACGAAUCGCAGGUACAUGCGAUAAAUCAUUCAAGUUUCUGCCCUAUCAGCUUUGGAUGGUAGUGUAUUGGACUACCAUGGCAGUCACGGGUAACGGAGAAUUAGGGUUCGAUUCCGGAGAGGGAGCCUGAGAAACGGCUACCACAUCUACGGAAGGCAGCAGGCGCGAAAAUUGCCCAAUCCUGACACGGGGAGGCAGUGACAAGAAAUAACAACUCUAGGUUUUCUUAGAAGUGUAAUGAGGAUAAUUUACAAACCUUACCGAAUGCAAUUGGAAGGCAAGUCUGGUGCCAGCAGCCGCGGUAAUUCCAGCUCCAAUAGCGUAUAUUAAAGUUGUUGCAGUUAAAAAGCUCGUAGUUGAAGUUCUGAUUGUUCGGGUUUCUAGACAUUAGUCGGAGAUACUGACAGUCAUCCGCUUGCAAACAUAUGUUCGACCUUAAUCAGUUGGCUAUGUGAGUAAGCAUUUUACCUUGAGAAAAACAGAGUGUUC